CUCUGAAGACUCAACAGUGUGAUGUAAUGUGAACGUCGACGGUUGUUUUUCCAGAGG
This is a microRNA precursor of Gadus morhua (Atlantic cod), 57 nucleotides long. The record is from Ensembl. NCBI's taxonomy places the organism in Eukaryota, Metazoa, Chordata, Actinopteri, Gadiformes, Gadidae.